Molecule: ribosomal RNA, 484 nt
Filed under: uncultured bacterium
Lineage: Bacteria
Description: partial 16S ribosomal RNA
Rfam family: Bacterial small subunit ribosomal RNA
Source: RNAcentral
AUUGAACGCUGGCGGCAGGCCUAACACAUGCAAGUCGAGCGGAUGAAGGGAGCUUGCUCCUGGAUUCAGCGGCGGACGGGUGAGUAAUGCCUAGGAAUCUGCCUGGUAGUGGGGGAUAACGUCCGGAAACGGGCGCUAAUACCGCAUACGUCCUGAGGGAGCAAGUGGGGGAUCUUCGGACCUCACGCUAUCAGAUGAGCCUAGGUCGGAUUAGCUAGUUGGUGGGGUAAAGGCCUACCAAGGCGUCGAUCCGUAACUGGUCUGAGAGGAUGAUCAGUAAAACUGGAAUUGGAGCACGGUCCGGAACACUGCGAGUGGGAAACGGUGGGGAUUUUUGCCGGAGGGAGGAGGGCGGAACCAGCGAUGCCGCGUGUGUGAAGAAGGUCUUCGGAUUGUAAAGCACUUGAAGUUGGGAGGAAGGGAAGGAAGUUAAUACCGUGCUGUUUUGAAGUGAACCGCAGAAUAAGCCCCGGCCAACUUCGUG